RNAcentral lists this ribosomal RNA (497 nucleotides) under uncultured bacterium. Its description in RNAcentral is "partial 16S ribosomal RNA". It matches the Rfam family "Bacterial small subunit ribosomal RNA", at positions 28 to 507 of the family's 1533-position model. The record is from RNAcentral.
GAUGAACGCUGGCGGCGUGCCUAAUACAUGCAAGUCGAGCGAACGGACGAGAAGCUUGCUUCUCUGAUGUUAGCGGCGGACGGGUGAGUAACACGUGGAUAACCUACCUAUAAGACUGGGAUAACUUCGGGAAACCGGAGCUAAUACCGGAUAAUAUUUUGAACCGCAUGGUUCAAAAGUGAAAGACGGUCUUGCUGUCACUUAUAGAUGGAUCCGCGCUGCAUUAGCUAGUUGGUAAGGUAACGGCUUACCAAGGCAACGAUGCAUAGCCGACCUGAGAGGGUGAACGGGCACACUGGAACUGAGACACGGUCCAGACUCCUACGGGAGGCAGCAGUAGGGAAUCUUCCGCAAAGGGCGAAAGCCUGACGGAGCAACGCCGCGUGAGUGAUGAAGGUCUUCGGAUCGUAAAACUCUGUUAUUAGGGAAGAACAUAUGUGUAAGUAACUGUGCACAUCUUGACGGUACCUAAUCAGAAAGCCACGGCUAACUACGUG